UACGGGGGGGGCAAGCGUUGUCCGGAAUUACUGGGCGUAAAGGGCUCGUAGGCGGCCAACUAAGUCAUACGUGAAAUCCCUCGGCUUAACCGGGGAACUGCGUCUGAUACUGGAUGGCUUGAGAUUGGGAGAGGGAUGCGGAAUUCCAGGUGUAGCGGUGAAAUGCGUAGAUAUCUGGAGGAACACCGGUGGCGAAGGCGGCAUCCUGGACCAACACUGACGCUGAGGAGCGAAAGCCAGGGGAGCAAACAGG
RNAcentral lists this ribosomal RNA (253 nucleotides) under uncultured bacterium. RNAcentral describes it as "partial 16S ribosomal RNA". It matches the Rfam family "Bacterial small subunit ribosomal RNA", at positions 524 to 776 of the family's 1533-position model. The record is from RNAcentral.